GAUGAACGCUAGCUACAGGCUUAACACAUGCAAGUCGAGGGGUAACGAGAGGGAAGCUUGCUUUCCUUGUCGACGACCGGCGCACGGGUGAGUAACGCGUAUCCAACCUGCCCCCAACUAGGGAAUAACCUUGCGAAAGUAAGACUAAUACCCUAUAAUUUCCUCAGAUGUCAUCUGACGAGGAAUAAAGAUUUAUCGGUUGUGGAUGGGGAUGCGUCUGAUUAGCUUGUUGGCGGGGUAACGGCCCACCAAGGCAACGAUCAGUAGGGGUUCUGAGAGGAAGGUCCCCCACAUUGGAACUGAGACACGGUCCAAACCCCUACGGGAGGCAGCAGUGAGGAUUAUUGGUCAAUGGGCGGAAGCUUGGACCAGCCAAGUAGCGUGCAGGAUGACGGCCCUAUGGGUUGUAAACUGCUUUUAUACAGGAAUAAAGUUAGCCACGUGUGGUUAUUUGUAGGUACUGUAUGAAUAAGGACCGGCUAAUUCCGUGCCAGCCGCCGCCGUAA
RNAcentral lists this ribosomal RNA (506 nucleotides) under uncultured bacterium. RNAcentral's name for it is "partial 16S ribosomal RNA". It matches the Rfam family "Bacterial small subunit ribosomal RNA", at positions 28 to 523 of the family's 1533-position model. The record is from RNAcentral.